Long non-coding RNA from Cyprinodon tularosa, 492 nucleotides. RefSeq lists it as uncharacterized. Lineage: Eukaryota; Metazoa; Chordata; Actinopteri; Cyprinodontiformes; Cyprinodontidae. The transcript has 3 exons. The record is from RefSeq and is a predicted model, not a curated record.
AAAGAGCGGCUGAGAUCUCAGGAGAGCUGUGCGUAAGUAAAAUGGUGGCAUACACGUAGUUUGUAUCAAAUCCACUGAGGUAAGUACAAGCCAAUAAUUGAAAAUUAAACAAAGUAAGGUUUAAACAUUAACAAUUGUCUCGUAUUUUACGAGGAAACAAGCUGGACAAGGAGACCUUGACGAACCUGUAGAGCUAGCUGGACAGGAGCUACAGCGACGUCCAGAAAUCCAUCAACCAAAAGGUAACCAGCCUGGACGCCUGUCUCGCCUUGUUAGAAGUCCUACAUAAAGAGGUUCAAGCCCUGAGAGAGUCGGAGGAAUACAGCCAGGGGCAUCUAGUCUCUAUUACCGCCACGAACAAAGCGCUGAGAGGGGAAGUCAUGAAGCUCACCGAGGGGAUGAUCCAGCUGCAUUCCGGAGCAGCAGGAGGAGGAUCCCGAGGUGACAAUCCCAGAGUUCCUCCAGAAGAAGCUGGAAAUCCUGGCGGAUCAG